This 442-nucleotide ribosomal RNA is filed under the name uncultured bacterium. Its description in RNAcentral is "partial 16S ribosomal RNA". It matches the Rfam family "Bacterial small subunit ribosomal RNA", at positions 338 to 795 of the family's 1533-position model. The record is from RNAcentral.
CCUACGGGAGACAGCAGUGGGGAAUAUUGGGCAAUGGGCGCAAGCCUGACCCAGCAACGCCGCGUGAAGGAAGAAGGCUUUCGGGUUGUAAACUUCUUUUGUCAGGGAAGAGUAGUACACGGUACCUGACGAAUCAGCCACGGCUAACUACGUGCCAGCAGCCGCGGUAAUACGGAGGUGGCAAGCGUUGUCCGGAUUUACUGGGUGUAAAGGGCGUGUAGCCGGGUUGACAAGUCAGAUGUGAAAUCCUGCGGCUUAACCGCAGAACUGCAUUUGAAACUGUUGAUCUUGAGUACUGGAGAGGCAGACGGAAUUCCUAGUGUAGCGGUGAAAUGCGUAGAUAUUAGGAGGAACACCGGUGGCGAAGGCGGUCUGCUGGACAGCAACUGACGGUGAGGCGCGAAAGCGUGGGGAGCAAACAGGAUUAGAUACCCGAGUAGUC